AAGUCGUAACAAGGUCUCCGUUGGUGAACCAGCGGAGGGAUCAUUACCGAGUUUACAACUCCCAAACCCAUGUGAACAUACCUACUGUUGCUUCGGCGGGAUUGCCCCGGGCGCCUCGUGUGCCCCGGAUCAGGCGCCCGCCUAGGAAACUCAACUCUUGUUUUAUUUUGGAAUCUUCUGAGUAGUUUUUACAAAUAAAUAAAAACUUUCAACAACGGAUCUCUUGGUUCUG
This 232-nucleotide unclassified non-coding RNA is filed under the name Clonostachys rosea. Its description in RNAcentral is "partial internal transcribed spacer region". The stretch from base 1 to 46 matches the Rfam family "Eukaryotic small subunit ribosomal RNA", at positions 1786 to 1831 of the family's 1831-position model. Lineage: Eukaryota; Fungi; Ascomycota; Sordariomycetes; Hypocreales; Bionectriaceae. The record is from RNAcentral. RNAcentral also lists the same sequence under 2 other names.